Molecule: non-coding RNA, 860 nt
Organism: Triticum urartu
Lineage: Eukaryota; Viridiplantae; Streptophyta; Magnoliopsida; Poales; Poaceae
Source: RefSeq, a predicted model, not a curated record
ACCAGCAUCUAUCUUCAUCAAAUCUCUCUCACCAUAGAAGCCCUCUCAAGCUCGAUUCCUCCUCUCUCUCUCUCUCUCUCUCUCUCUCUCCAUUCCACCAGUAGCCAUGAGAGCACUAGUUUGUUGUUGCUCCGCCGUAGCAUCUCCUCCCCCCCUCCCCCCCCCCCCCCCCCCCCCCCCCCCCCCCCCCCCCCCCCCACCGCGUGCUUGGCUGGAACCAGCCAGCCUAGUGCCCGACAACGACCAUUCUUGUAGAUAAAGCUUCAACCUCCGGCUGGAUUUUUGCUGGAACCACUGUUCGACAGCGGCGAUGUCGUGCUAUGAUGGGUGGUGCCUACGGGAGUUGCUGGAAACGAUGUUUGGAUGAGCUACAUUCGGCGAGGAGUACGGGAGAUGAGGAGGAUGUGCUACGCCGGCGAAUUGGAGCUGCGGAGAGAGGCGUGGAGCGAUGGAGAUCCGACUAGCGGCGGAGAUCCAGCGGGUUAGGUCGCUCGUCCAUGGCGCUGGCGCCUGCCAUGCGUGCUCGCAUGAUUUGCAGGGUAGAAACGGUAUGAUGGGGACGAAAGCGACCUGAAUCUGACGGCUAAAAGGGAUUUUAUCGAACGUACCGGGUGUGACCGGCCCAAAUUUGGGCCGGCGCGCCAGCGCCUAGCGUUGAGGAAGUACAGGGUCCAUCACGUGAGAAUCAUAUGGGGAGUGAUAGUUUCGCAUGAAGCACAAGUUGCAUUACAUGCGAUCAGAGUAGUACCAGUGAGGGAGUACAAGUAUGUUGUCUCGGAGAGUUAUACCUGUGUUAUUUGUGGAGCACAAGUUUGUUAUAUUUGUAAGUACAAGUUUUGUAAAAAAAAUUCAUCAAAACA